RNAcentral lists this ribosomal RNA (253 nucleotides) under uncultured bacterium. RNAcentral describes it as "partial 16S ribosomal RNA". It matches the Rfam family "Bacterial small subunit ribosomal RNA", at positions 524 to 776 of the family's 1533-position model. The record is from RNAcentral.
UACGUAGGGGGCAAGCGUUAUCCGGAUUUACUGGGUGCAAAGGGAGCGUAGACGGUCCUGCAAGCCAGAUGUGAAAGCCCGGGGCUCAACCCCGGGACUGCAUUUGGAACUGUAAGGCUAGAGUGUCGGAGAGGCAGGCGGAAUUCCUAGUGUAGCGGUGAAAUGCGUAGAUAUUAGGAGGAACACCAGUGGCGAAGGCGGCCUGCUGGACGAUGACUGACGUUGAGGCUCGAAAGCGUGGGGAGCAAACAGG